RNAcentral lists this ribosomal RNA (198 nucleotides) under uncultured bacterium. Its description in RNAcentral is "partial 16S ribosomal RNA". It matches the Rfam family "Bacterial small subunit ribosomal RNA", at positions 328 to 539 of the family's 1533-position model. The record is from RNAcentral.
ACGCUCGACACCUACGGGAGGCUGCAGUGGGGAAUAUUGCACAAUGGGGGAAACCCUGAUGCAGCGACGCCGCGUGGAGGAAGAAGGUCUUCGGAUUGUAAACUCCUGUUGUUGGGGAAAAAGAGGAUGGUACCCAACAAGGAAGUGACGGCUAACUACGUGUCAGCAGUCGCGGUAAUCUGAGCGGGCUGGCAAGGC